UUUACUGAAAAUGUCGAUCCUAAUUCACCUCACUCGAACCUUCUCUCGAGCUUCCGUCUCUCACAUCCCAAAUUCACCUCACUUCACCUCUUCUCUCUCGAACCUUCACUGCAUCUCUUCUCUCUUAAACCUUCACUCCACCUUGUGUUUCUUCUCCUUAGAAAAUCAAUCUCUUUCACUUAAACCCUUAAAACCUUAGUCUCCACUAUGCAUGUCUCUUUCGCGUUNGCCUUAUCUUGAAACCCUAGCCUUCACCGUGUGGAGAUGGUGGNAACGACAGUGGCGAGGCUNCAGGGGAUGCGGAGANGAAGCAGGUGGUCUGGGAGGCGUUCCUUCCCCUGGUGCUGGUUCUCAAUUGGGGCUUCUUCGAACACCGUCUUCUACGAUCUCUUCUACAUGGCCUUGGAUAUCAAGAGAUGGAUGAAGUGAAAGCCUGUUCACAAAUGGAUGAUCCGCCACCUAUAUUUCCCGUGUUUAAGGCAAGGCANACCAAAGGCCGUUGCUCUUUUAAUUGCCUUCCUAGUUUCUGCUUUAUUCCAUGAGUUGUGCAUUGCUGUUCCUUGCCACAUAUUCAAAUUGUGGGCUUUCGGUGGAAUUAUGUUUCAGGGGUCAGUUUCAAUUAGUAUGUCUCUCUUCCAGUCACUAACAGCCAGAUUUUCUGGUUCGGGGAUUUGAAUUAUCGGAUCAAUAUGUUGGAUGCUGAGGUUAGAAAAUUGGUGGCUCUAAGAAGUGGAAUGAGUUGAUGAAUUAUGACCAUCUAAGCAAAGAAUUGCGUAUCGGGCAUGUGUUUGAUGGAUGGAAAGAGGAGUUUAUUUCAAAGUAACUUGUCAGGUGGAAUUAUCGUCCCUGAUGAAGCUGAGCUUAGGUUGCUUGAAGCUUUCUAUCACAACAUAUCCAAGGUGGAAUAAUCCAAGAUGAAGUUUUCUCCAAGAUUUGAUUUAUGCAGGUGAGAUUUGGAAAACUUAUGAUAUUGUUUUCUUCAUUAUAAUGCAGAUUUCUAANGAAGAGGUUAAGCGUGGAUGAAGUGUAAAACUGUACCANAAAUUGUAAUUUCAAUCUUUUAUCUCAAUUUUUACCCUUAAGUUGUUUUUAUGUAAAUAUAUAUUGCACUUUAAUUGUGUUAAUAAUUUGAAUUCACUUU
Long non-coding RNA from Vigna radiata var. radiata (mung bean), 1141 nucleotides. RefSeq lists it as uncharacterized. The transcript is spliced from 7 exons. NCBI's taxonomy places the organism in Eukaryota, Viridiplantae, Streptophyta, Magnoliopsida, Fabales, Fabaceae. The record is from RefSeq and is a predicted model, not a curated record.